AGUGAACGCUGGCGGUAGGCCUAACACAUGCAAGUCGAACGGCAGCACAGUAAGAGCUUGCUCUUACGGGUGGCGAGUGGCGGACGGGUGAGGAAUAAAUCGGAAUCUACUUUUUCGUGGGGGAUAACGUAGGGAAACUUACGCUAAUACCGCAUAAGACCUACGGGUGAAAGAAGGGGAUCUUCGGACCUUGCGCGAUUGAAUGAGCCGAUGUCGGAUUAGCUAGUUGGCGGGGUAAAGGCCCACCAAGGCGACGAUCCGUAGCUGGUCUGAGAGGAUGAUCAGCCACACUGGAACUGAGACACGGUCCAGACUCCUACGGGAGGCAGCAGUGGGGAAUAUUGGACAAUGGGCGCAAGCCUGAUCCAGCCAUACCGCGUGGGUGAAGAAGGCCUUCGGGUUGUAAAGCCCUUUUGUUGGGAAAGAAAAGCAGCAGGUUAAUACCCCGCUGUUCUGACGGUACCCAAAGAAUAAGCACCGGCUAACUUCGUG
This 492-nucleotide ribosomal RNA is filed under the name uncultured bacterium. RNAcentral describes it as "partial 16S ribosomal RNA". It matches the Rfam family "Bacterial small subunit ribosomal RNA", at positions 29 to 507 of the family's 1533-position model. The record is from RNAcentral.